CACAUAGCACAUAGUUUAUUUUCUGUACUUCAGCACUUAUUUCACCACAGAGUCCACAUCCCUAUGGUACAAGCCCACAAUAGCUGUGAGUUUUUUUUUUAUGUUGGGCUGCAGCUGCUGGUCUCCACAAUAGAAAUCAAUGAAAAGGGAGAAGACAUACAAAGGCCAUUGCAACUUACAGAGAGAGAAAGAGUGAAUGGGUCAAGACAUCUGACAUUAACUGUUGUUUUCUCUAAUAAAACUCACAGGCAAGAAGAUUGAAUGGAGACAUUUUCAAGAAAAAGCCUUGGGCAAAGAGAAGUCUAAGAGACUCUGGCAGCUGUUUCAUCAGCAGUCUGUCAGCCUUUCCAGUCGGCAAGAGGCCCUGCGUCAGUACAAGGGGGAAAACUCGAAACUUUCACUAAUCCUGCAACCUAAACUCAUUUUGGUAUGCAGUUUGAAUUUGCAGCUGCAUCAUUUAAAAACCAGUUUGAAAUGUUAUAUGAGCAAAAAACAAAACCUGACUUAUAUCCAUCAUUAUAUCACAGAGCUGAAAAUGCUACUAAAUCCCCUCACAUCCUGCCCAUCCAUUUCAGACAGCAUUAUAAUGUUGUUACACAAGGGUGUGGCUCGAGACUGAGCUCUAGCAGAAAUCCUUAACAGAAUUAGGAUGGACUGAUAAUCUACAAGGCUUUUACACACACAUAGUUCUUUUAAAUCUGUUUCUUUGGUGUGGUCUGGUCAUCCAUCUGCCCAAACACCUCGUAGCUAAGAUAGCUGUGAAUGAAAGAUGGAGUGACACACCAAAAACAAAUUCAGUCGGCUGCAGAUUCAGUGAUUCAUUAUGAAAGAUGUGAAGACAGGAAAAGGAAACCACCAUUGCUGCAGGCCUGCAUUUUUUUUUGUUAAUAUAAAAGGCCCUGAGCUUAAACAGCCAGAAUGUCACAAGGGAAUGACUGAAGCACAUUUCAAUUCAAGCUGAGAGCAAGCUGGCAUCAACAAAGGACCACACCCGAGAUCAGCGCACUUAAACUACAACUGAUAGACUAUAAGCUGCUCCUGGCACAAGACAUUACCUCUGGACUGAGUGAAAGUAGUCCUAUAUAUAUAUAUAUAUUUACACACACAUCAUGUGCAAAACCCAGUCUACCUUUCCUUCGUUCUCACACAGUCUGACAUGAACCAUAAAGACACAGUCAGUACAGAGCAGUACAUAAUGUAUGAUGAUAUUAGGUUAAGUGGGUGGAAGGCGAGGAUGUGCUACAUCAGCUGCCAAAGCUUGCUUGUGAAGCUCAAUAACCAGGAAAUGAGCUCAUCAUAUCGGACUGUUCUGAAAAAAAAAGUCCAGAAUUGUAAUUUCCCCUCUGUGCUUCAACAUGCAUGGGUGUUCACAACAGCUGUGUUUGACUAUGUGUUAGAUAGAUAUUUGCAAAAAAGCAGGAAUCAUAGAUUAAUUUAAAUCAUUCACGUGCUCUUUCUAUCUGCCAACAAAGUAGAAAAAUAAACUUUUGGUACAGUGUUGCAUGAUUCUAAACACAUAAACAACUUUCUCCCCCUUCUGACAAUCCAGAGGAACUGCAUCCAAAGAUCAAAUGACACACACAUGAAAUAAAACUGUUUUAAUAUCAAAGAGGAUCUGGAAAACAUUAAUCAUCAGAAUGGAAAUAUAUGACACCAAGUAAUUGACUUCAGUUGACUUAUGUCUCUAAUGCAUUUUUUUUAGUACAGUUCAAGUGCAGAUCAUUUGUAUAAAACAUGAUGCCAUCUCGGCAAUACUGGACAAUAUAUACAUGCAUAUUAUAUAAUUUAAAAUCCACUGAUAAAUUUGGCACAUGUUUUCUAUCUAGAUCCAAAGUCCACCAGCUUAUUUAGUUUAAAUGUGACACCUGUGGCUAUUUAGACCGAGUACAAGAUGACUGGAAAAAUACUGUCAUCGUAUUAACCUGUUACUACUUGGACCAGAGAUCAUCUCUCCUUCAAGAAAGAAACUUCUUUAUGAAAAACAUCUUCUGAUGUUAAGACUGAGACUCCUUCAGCUAUUGUGCGUUUGCGGCAGUACAAAGAACAUAAAAAUUCAAGAUCCAUCCACUGGGCUACAGUUUUAGACAUCAUUAUGAAGACAACAGACAGACGAAAGAGCACUAUGAUUCAGUAUGACAUGACAAUAUUACAGAGCUACAAAUAGGUUUGUGCUGUGAUGAAGCUGUAUUCUUGUUAUCGACCCUAAACCCUGCUUCACUGUAAUGCAUUUCAAGUCAUUAUUUUCUUACAACAAGACAGUUCGUAGUCUGCCAUCAGUGUUGUAUAAAUAAAGAAAGGGGCCAACAGCUUUUAAACAAUGAAUGAACUCUGAUGUACUCUUUGUAGCUUAACAUACGUGCAUAUGUGUUUUUAAAACAUACUUCCGUGUAGGGGCUAACCACAGGAAAUGUUGGGCGCUUCACUCACAAUUUACUACAGCAACCAAGAGUAGCAACAAAAACAAAACUAUAGUGUCAACAUUUGAAGGCAACGUGAUGCUUGUGCAGUAGUAGUACUGCAGCUCAGGACACAGUUUGACACUUUAUACUGGAGGUGCAGCUUGUGGAAGAGAAAACAAAUCAAUUUGUGGUCCUGUUUUUCGAUACCUUUCUAGAAUCUCCCUGAUUGUCUAAAAAAAGACUAUAAGUUGGAUUUUGUAUGAAUGGAUUAUGUAUGAAUUUACAUGUCCCAUUGGGACCUCAUAUGAUAGAGUUUAGAGUAGUUGGGAGUAAGAAAAAGGAUUUAGCUGUUGCAUAUGUUUUGUGAGAUGUAUAAAUGCCUCAAUAUAAAAGCCCUGUCGGGAAGAGGUAAGCUACUUUGAAAUACUAUAAAAGGAAAAACACAAACAUAAAAACAGUCAGCACCAUGUGUGCACUCAGUCCUCAUCAUGGCACCUGUACCCACUUAGUAUCUUCUCCUGGUUCAGCAUUGUGCAUCAUUAAAUACAUAG
Long non-coding RNA from Larimichthys crocea (large yellow croaker), 2950 nucleotides. RefSeq lists it as uncharacterized. The transcript is spliced from 2 exons. The record is from RefSeq and is a predicted model, not a curated record. NCBI's taxonomy places the organism in Eukaryota, Metazoa, Chordata, Actinopteri, Sciaenidae.